GAAAGUAGCUUGCUACUGUUGCUGACGAGCGGCGGACGGGUGAGUAAUGCUUGGGAACAUGCCUUGAGGUGGGGGACAACAGUUGGAAACGACUGCUAAUACCGCAUAAUGUCUACGGACCAAAGGGGGCUUCGGCUCUCGCCUUUAGAUUGGCCCAAGUGGGAUUAGCUAGUUGGUGAGGUAAUGGCUCACCAAGGCAACGAUCCCUACCUGGUUUGAGAGGAUGAUCAGCCACACUGGAACUGACACACGGUCCAGACUCCUACGGGAGGCAGCAGUGGGGAAUAUUGCACAAUGGGCGAAAGCCUGAUGCAGCCAUGCCGCGUGUGUGAAGAAGGCCUUCGGGUUGUAAAGCACUUUCAGUCAGGAGGAAAGGGUGUGAGUUAAUACCUCAUAUCUGUGACGUUACUGACACAAGAAGCACCGGCUAACUCCGUGCCAGCAGCCGCGGUAAUACGGAGGGUGCGAGCGUUAAUCGGAAUUACCGGGCGUAAAGCGUACGCAGGCGGUUUGUUAAGCGAGAUGUGAAAGCCCCGGGCUCAACCUGGGAACUGCAUUUCGAACUGGCAAACUAGAGUGUGAUAGAGGGUGGUAGAAUUACUUGUGUAGCGGUAAAAUGCGUAGAGAUCUGAAGGAAUACCGAUGGCUAACGCAGCCACCUGCGUCAACACUGACGCUCAUGUACGAAAGCGUGGGGGAGCAAACGGGAUGAGAUACACCGGUAGUCCACGCAGUAUACGAUGUCUACUAGAAUUCUCGGAACCUCGGUCCUGUUUUGCAAAGCUAACGCAUUUAUGUAG
RNAcentral lists this ribosomal RNA (800 nucleotides) under uncultured bacterium. Its description in RNAcentral is "bacterial SSU rRNA". It matches the Rfam family "Bacterial small subunit ribosomal RNA", at positions 71 to 867 of the family's 1533-position model. The record is from RNAcentral.